UACGGAGACUGCGAGCGUUACUCGGAUUCACUGGGCGUAAAGGGUGCGCAGGCGGCCAGAUGUGUCAGAUGUGAAAUCUCGGGGCUCAACCCCGAAACUGCAUUUGAAACUAUCUGGCUAGAGUUUUGGAGAGGUAAGUAGAAUUCCUAGUGUAGCGGUGGAAUGCGUAGAUAUUAGGAGGAAUACCAAUAGCGAAGGCAGCUCACUGGAUGAAUACUGACGCUGAAGCGCGAAAGCGUGGGGAGCAAACGGG
RNAcentral lists this ribosomal RNA (253 nucleotides) under uncultured bacterium. RNAcentral's name for it is "partial 16S ribosomal RNA". It matches the Rfam family "Bacterial small subunit ribosomal RNA", at positions 524 to 776 of the family's 1533-position model. The record is from RNAcentral.